Small nuclear RNA from Talpa occidentalis (Iberian mole), 106 nucleotides. Lineage: Eukaryota; Metazoa; Chordata; Mammalia; Eulipotyphla; Talpidae. The record is from RefSeq and is a predicted model, not a curated record.
GUGCUCACUUUGGCACACACAUACUAAAUUUGGAAUGAUACAGAGGAGAUUAGCCUGGCUCCUGUAUAAGGAUGACAUGCAAAUUUGUGAAGCAUUCCAUAUUAUA